GCAGUCGAGCGGUAGCACAGAGAGCUUGCUCUCGGGUGACGAGCGGCGGACGGGUGAGUAAUGUCUGGGAAACUGCCUGAUGGAGGGGGAUAACUACUGGAAACGGUAGCUAAUACCGCAUAAUGUCGCAAGACCAAAGUGGGGGACCUUCGGGCCUCAUGCCAUCAGAUGUGCCCAGAUGGGAUUAGCUAGUAGGUGGGGUAACGGCUCACCUAGGCGACGAUCCCUAGCUGGUCUGAGAGGAUGACCAGCCACACUGGAACUGAGACACGGUCCAGACUCCUACGGGAGGCAGCAGUGGGGAAUAUUGCACAAUGGGCGCAAGCCUGAUGCAGCCAUGCCGCGUGUGUGAAGAAGGCCUUCGGGUUGUAAAGCACUUUCAGCGGGGAGGAAGGCGAUAAGGUUAAUAACCUUGUCGAUUGACGUUACCCGCAGAAGAAGCACCGGCUAACUCCGUGCCAGCAGCCGCGGUAAUACGGAGGGUGCAAGCGUUAAUCGGAAUUACUGGGCGUAAAGCGCACGCAGGCGGUCUGUCAAGUCGGAUGUGAAAUCCCCGGGCUUAACCUGGGAACUGCAUUCGAAACUGGCAGGCUAGAGUCUUGUAGAGGGGGGUAGAAUUCCAGGUGUAGCGGUGAAAUGCGUAGAGAUCUGGAGGAAUACCGGUGGCGAAGGCGGCCCCCUGGACAAAGACUGACGCUCAGGUGCGAAAGCGUGGGGAGCAAACAGGAUUAGAUACCCUGGUAGUCCACGCCGUAAACGAUGUCGAUUUGGAGGUUGUGCCCUUGAGGCGUGGCUUCCGGAGCUAACGCGUUAAAUCGACCGCCUGGGGAGUACGGCCGCAAGGUUAAAACUCAAAUGAAUUGACGGGGGCCCGCACAAGCGGUGGAGCAUGUGGUUUAAUUCGAUGCAACGCGAAGAACCUUACCUGGUCUUGACAUCCACAGAACUUUCCAGAGAUGGAUUGGUGCCUUCGGGAACUGUGAGACAGGUGCUGCAUGGCUGUCGUCAGCUCGUGUUGUGAAAUGUUGGGUUAAGUCCCGCAACGAGCGCAACCCUUAUCCUUUGUUGCCAGCGGUCCGGCCGGGAACUCAAAGGAGACUGCCAGUGAUAAACUGGAGGAAGGUGGGGAUGACGUCAAGUCAUCAUGGCCCUUACGACCAGGGCUACACACGUGCUACAAUGGCAUAUACAAAGAGAAGCGACCUCGCGAGAGCAAGCGGACCUCAUAAAGUAUGUCGUAGUCCGGAUUGGAGUCUGCAACUCGACUCCAUGAAGUCGGAAUCGCUAGUAAUCGUAGAUCAGAAUGCUACGGUGAAUACGUUCCCGGGCCUUGUACACACCGCCCGUCACACCAUGGGAGUGGGUUGCAAAAGAAGUAGGUAGCUUAACCUUCGGGAGGGCGCU
RNAcentral lists this ribosomal RNA (1404 nucleotides) under Klebsiella pneumoniae. RNAcentral's name for it is "bacterial SSU rRNA". It matches the Rfam family "Bacterial small subunit ribosomal RNA". Lineage: Bacteria; Pseudomonadati; Pseudomonadota; Gammaproteobacteria; Enterobacterales; Enterobacteriaceae. The record is from RNAcentral.